Molecule: ribosomal RNA, 465 nt
Filed under: uncultured bacterium
Lineage: Bacteria
Description: partial 16S ribosomal RNA
Rfam family: Bacterial small subunit ribosomal RNA
Source: RNAcentral
GAUGAACGCUGGCGGCGUGCUUAACACAUGCAAGUCGAACGGAAAGGCCCCGCCUUUCUGGGGUGCUCGAGUGGCGAACGGGUGAGUAACACGUGGGUAAUCUGCCCUUCACUUCGGGAUAACCUUGGGAAACUGGGGCUAAUACCGGAUAGGACGUUCUGUUGGAUGCCGGUGGUUAGAGUGUUUCGGUGUGGGAUGAUCUCGCGGCUUAUCAGCUUGUUGGUGGGGUAGUGGCCUACCAAGGCGUCGACGGGUAGCCGGCCUGAGAGGGUGUACGGCCACAUUGGGACUGAGAUACGGCCCAGACUCCUACGGGAGGCAGCAGUGGGGAAUAUUGCACAAUGGGCGGAAGCCUGAUGCAGCGACGCCGCGUGCGGGAUGACGGCCUUCGGGUUGUAAACCGCUUUCGCUAGGGACGAAGCGUGAGUGACGGUAAUUGGUGAAGAAGCACCGGCUAACUACGUG